UCACUGGCCUCCAGUAUUCGGACAGUGACCCAAGGCAUUCUAUUGUCGUUUGUCGCGCCCGUUAGUCCGUUCGUGUGCAUAUGUCCUUCCAUCUUGGUUCAGCAUCUGCCACCCCUUUUAGGCUACCAAAAAGGACUUCGUUUUCCCUCUGGUGGUGGGUUUCGGAAGUAGCGUGGGUGGUGGCGUAGUACGGUAGUCUACUAAACUAUGGACUAGACUAACAGUAACUGACGGAGAAAACUGCACGACACUUACGGAAACUACCUGCACUAUUUUAUAACAAAACACGAUACAAAUUCUAACAUAAUCUCAAAAACACUCCACACUGAACUGCGAACACUUACACUCUCCCCCAGCUCGGGUAAAAAAUAUUUACAAAGUAAAUAUUUUUUCCACAGAUUACACAAGACUUCCCCGGCUACACGUACCUCUGAACCUACCAACACAAACCACUCAACACCAGAACAAAUUCACUUCAACCGACGGUAGUUCACAAAACACUUGACUCGAAACGUACUAGAUUAAGUCAUACAGAAAUACAUCAAUGAAACACAUUGUAAAGGACCAGUAAGUACGUUUACAGAGUAUCGGGGUCAUAGGUUUUCAUCGUUGUUACCAACUCCUCACAAUUUAGAGAUUAACUCUGUACUGACCGUCAACGCGAUUGCUCUGGUCUCCAGCGAUCAAAUGCGCAAACAUUGAGCUUGGCAACCUCUUCUAAUACUUACAUUUUGUCCAUACGAUUGUUUAAAAAGCUAUUUACCUAACAAAAUUGAAUGACAACACUAUAUUUACACCACGUUUUUACCAUAUUUACAAGUAUUUACAGAUUAAAAUUUCAUUGAGCAAAGCUACGGUAUAGUACGGUAAAAUAGUGCUUUGAAAUGUUUCACCGGUUUGUCGGAGUUGUGAUCGUUCUAGUACUACCUACUUCGAAUUCCAUCCGAACAAUAGUCCAUUGGUGUGCGUUUGUAUUGAGAUGAUUUCGAACUGUCAAACUAUUGAUUGGUGUGAAAUGGAUGAGAACGGUGAUGAUAUGAUCAGCAUAAGGUAAGUACGAUGAAUUUUAAUUUAAGAAUUAUUUCUUAGCCGGCGAGUGAAAAAUCCCCGUAGAUUGAUGGCCAAAACCAAUCCGGAAAUGGAUCUUCACUGCAAAAGAUUAAAUUCUUGAAUCAGAAUCCAUCAAAUACAAUGAUUUGAGAAUUUUCAUUAAAAGUGAGGUUAUGCAAUUCAGAAAUCUAAAAUUGAUUGAAUGAUUACUUUUUGUCUAUUUUUCUAUAUUUGAUUCAAUUUACUGUGGUUAUUUCUAUUCUUUGGUCUGUGAGUACUAUCAGUCUUCGCCGCAUUUCCUAUUUUUUUGAACUAGUAAAUUCUGAUAACUAACAAUUAAAAAAUGAAAUGAUAAAAAUUAACAAAAUUCUACAAACUUUACAAAACAUGCAAAAACAACAAAUUAAAAUAAUGAAAUGGCCAUCAUGCAAAAUAUAUACAAAAACUUACAAAGAAAUAAUUUCCAAUUGAGGUUAAUUUAUCGAGAAUUUGAUGUUUAGAAGUUCUCCUAGACAAAGCUAUUAACAGGAGUAACUCCGCAAUCAAAUCUCUUUCAACCUUUUUAAAAGCAUACUAUGCUUCUCAUUAUCGAUACAAUUACCAUUCAUCCGCAGCAUCUCCAUUCAGAUUUUCGCUAAGUCUGAUUAGAUGAUUGUUGACAAUCAGACUAGCUACUGAAAACGAGAUAUCUAGCGCAUCAUUCUGUCUCACUCCCACUAUGGGUACAAAGUGAGCAGACAUUCAAAAUACAUGGGCCCAUUAAUCACAUAUUAAAAUCUUCCUAGGUAUUUCUGCAAUUACUGCCUCCGCAGCUUCGAGACAAGAUGACGUCACCUAGGCCAAGCAUCCGAAGAGUGGCUCGUACGAGGACUGGAUGGAAUAGUGUCUCUAGAUGCAGUAUUUACAGAGGGAAUCUAGUCGCCCUACAGACGAUCCUUCCUGUUUUGAGUGACCUGGCACUCGUGUGGUCUCACCGUCUCACUUGUGCUCAUUCAACUGAACGAUGACAGUACGAGUAAUCACCGACUCAGGACGUUUUCUGCACGCCAAUUCGCAAUGGAAUUAGAAUUUAAAAAGAACUAUUUACGAGCUAAAAGUAUCACAGAUUAGAAUUUGAUAACCUAGUAAAUUGAAAAAUGCUAUGAAAUUUGAAAACCUAGUAAAUUUGAAAAUCCUAUUUGCACACGCUUCAAAAGAAGCACACAAAAUUUGUUGUAAAUAAAAAUUAUCGUUCUUUUUGGCCUUUUCAUUUCACACACAUCCGAAAUCACAUCACAACACACUAAAAUUGUUUCAAACAAAAGUAAAAAGUUAAAAAUGACUAGUAUUGAGUUCUAAUGUUCUUUUUGAACAAUCGUUUGUUUGUGUUCAUUGUGUUUCUGGACAACAAAACCCCUCCGUCGCAAAUGAAAUGAUUUUGCGAACUGUGUAAGAAGAAAGAGUAAGUCCAAAUGUGGUAAGUUAAAUUCGUGAAGGCCUGGAAGUUUUACCAGAGACCUCCGUCGAAACCAGUUUGAUCCAGUGCGAUCUUCCGAACUGACCCUUCCAAAAAAACUGUCAAGAAGACGAUUUUAAGUUGGGCGCCAAAGUGAAACUGUCGACUAGCUCAAGAGGGGAGCCUUCCUGAGACUCCCUGAAACAACACCUCAGGGUCGGCAUGCUUCUCGACCAGUUAUUCGCGGGCAGGGAAUAUUCGCACUGUCGUACAGAAAAACUCACGUCACGUUACAUUUACACAU
Molecule: long non-coding RNA, 2789 nt
Organism: Aedes albopictus (Asian tiger mosquito)
Lineage: Eukaryota; Metazoa; Arthropoda; Insecta; Diptera; Culicidae
Exons: 3
Source: RefSeq, a predicted model, not a curated record